UCUUCCUAAAUAGUAACAAACUGGGCUACUAAUCCAUUUUCUUCAUGCACUGCUGAAAUAUAGGGAACAAGGAACAGAAAAUGAUGAAACCAGAAGCAGGGCUACAGUUGUUUCUGAAGAUGUACCUGGAGAGCUGCUGGAUUCACAACCUGUUUUACAUGACCAUGUAGAAGAUGUUAACAUCUUUUAUCUCAAGACAGGAAAUAAUGAAGGAAAAAUAUUUGACUUCAUUGUGAGCUCCGAGUGCAGUUUUGAUGGCUUCAGUACUGAGGAUGUGCAUGUUAAGCAGUAGAGAGGAACAGACUGCAAUACCAGGUAUGAAUGGAGAUGUCGUCUUGUUAUGCUGAGCCAAAGUGAUUCUGGUUAGCAGUGCCCAGAAUACCAAAGGAGACCACUAGCCAAUGCAUUACUUCUUGAAUGUAAAAUGUAAUGUUUUAUCAAAUGUAGAAGAGAGUGGGGUAAACUAUCGGAUAGCA
RNAcentral lists this long non-coding RNA (476 nucleotides) under Anas platyrhynchos platyrhynchos (common mallard). Its description in RNAcentral is "lncRNA (ENSAPLG00000031036.1)". The record is from RNAcentral. Lineage: Eukaryota; Metazoa; Chordata; Aves; Anseriformes; Anatidae.